GAUGAACGCUGGCGGCGUGCCUAACACAUGCAAGUCGAGCGGCAGCGCGGGGUGCUUGCACCCUGUCGGCGAGCGGCGGACGGCUGAGUAACGCGUGGGAACGUGCCCCAAAGUGAGGAAUAACUGCCCGAAAGGGUAGCUAAUACCGCAUAUUAUCUUCGGAUCAAAGGAUUUAUCCGCUUUGGGAGCGGCUCGCGUCGGAUUAGGUAGUUGGUGAGGUAAUGGCUCACCAAGCCGACGAUCCGUAGCUGGUCUGAGAGGAUGACCAGCCAGACUGGAACUGAGACACGGUCCAGACUCCUACGGGAGGCAGCAGUGAGGAAUCUUCCACAAUGGGCGAAAGCCUGAUGGAGCAACGCCGCGUGCAGGACGAAGGCCUUCGGGUUGUAAACUGCUUUUAUAAGUGAGGAAUAUGACGGUAACUGAUGAAUAAGGAUCGGCUAACUACGUG
This 451-nucleotide ribosomal RNA is filed under the name uncultured bacterium. RNAcentral describes it as "partial 16S ribosomal RNA". It matches the Rfam family "Bacterial small subunit ribosomal RNA", at positions 28 to 507 of the family's 1533-position model. The record is from RNAcentral.